CAUUCGAGUGGCGGACGGGUGAGUAACGCGUGGGUAACCUGCCUUACACAGGGGGAUAACACCUGGAAACAGGUGCUAAUACCGCAUAAGCGCACAGGGCCGCAUGGCCCGGUGUGAAAAACUCCGGUGGUGUAAGAUGGACCCGCGUCUGAUUAGCUUGUUGGCGGGGUAGGGGCCCACCAAGGCGACGAUCAGUAGCCGGCCUGAGAGGGUCGAACGGCCACAUUGGGACUGGGACACGGCCAAACUCCUACGGAAGGCAGCAG
RNAcentral lists this ribosomal RNA (266 nucleotides) under uncultured bacterium. Its description in RNAcentral is "partial 16S ribosomal RNA". It matches the Rfam family "Bacterial small subunit ribosomal RNA", at positions 88 to 354 of the family's 1533-position model. The record is from RNAcentral.